Molecule: non-coding RNA, 7271 nt
Organism: Labrus bergylta (ballan wrasse)
Lineage: Eukaryota; Metazoa; Chordata; Actinopteri; Labriformes; Labridae
Source: RefSeq, a predicted model, not a curated record
GCAGAGGCAAGCAAACAUGUUGGAAGAAGAAGAAGAAGAAGAAGAAGGGGGGGGGAGUGAUGAGGCAGAGGGAUAGCCCCUCCUUACUGCUGUAAAAGCAGGAGGAAGAAAAAAAAGAGAAACAGGAGGAAAAAAAAAAGAGAGGAAGAAAGGAAAUCGUAGCCAUACGGGCUGUGCUCCCCCAGCUGAACUGUAUCUGCAUUUUAACGGUGGGAAGAAGAGACGCUAUAUGGCGAGGUGCUCCUCCCUCCACCCUGCCAACCUCAUCUGUCAGCCAUUAGUUAAUCAGGGCUGGUAAUGCAGAGCGCACAGAGAGCUGGCACGGCUCGUGGGACCAGAGGACAGCUUCACCUCUGAGAGCAAAGAGAGGGCAAGGACUCAGGGACCUCUGCGGCACCGGGCUACAGCUGGGUGGCUUCACUCACCAGCACCCACUCAGUAUUAACAUUUUUGUCUAGGAUUGGACUGGCUGUAACUUCAACAUGACCCCACCCAUCGCUUUGCCCGUGAACAGGUGAGCCAAUAGGACACAUGGAAACUUUUAGACAUCUAAGAGAAUCUCAACUGGCAUUUUAAGAUCUGUCACUCGGCCAAAAUGGCAAUCAAAGCAGCUCGUACAGCACAGAACCUCACAGAGAGAAGGUAAAUUCCACAAAACCAACACUUUGGCUCAGAUCAGAUCUGCUUUGUGUUGAAUGUGUUUUAUCACUGAUCACUUUAACCCUCAAGCAGUGUAUGGAAACACUCAUUACUGUAAGAACUAUAAUUAUGCUAUAAAAGUCUUUUUGGUUGGGGGUAACAUCAGAACUGAGUGCUGUUGUGAAAACAAUAGUUUAUUUUGGGAGCUUGGCCAUCAAAAACCUUAUUAACAUCAUAAUUAAGUUUUGACAAACGUCAUAUUUUGCAAGAUCAGUGAUGAAGACAUCGUUUGCUGAACAUUUAUGUCUAACAUGAUGGUUUAUUUCAUUUCAGCCUUCUUAAUUAAAAUGAUGCUUUUUUUGCAAAAUAUUGAAAAUAAAUCUGCAAUUAGGAUUUGGCAAAGUUUGUAAUACACCAUGUAGGUUUAGAAAAGAGGAUGCAUUGUGAAGUAUGAAUCAAAGGCGGCAAAGAGGCAAGUUAAGACCCCAAAUCAGACGGUUUUGGUGUGUUUUUUUUUCACACUUAGUGGAUCUAACUGAGGCCAUAUCUUAAAAUGUGAGAGCCAAGGUCGAAUUCCGAUCACAUUGCAGCACGUUUGCAAUGCAAGACGUUGGUAAUACCAAGCAUAUGGUAACUGUAGCUACAUGGACUCUUCAAAGGAGCUCAGUGCUGACCCGGAGCAAGAACAAACUUGCAUGAGUGUGAAGGGAGUGUAGAAUUAUACCCUGGGCUGCAUGUUGUCAAGGCUGAGAGAUACAUAGCCAAAAGAUAGCUGCUCUCUCUGUUUAACAAUGCCUGUGCAAAAUCAGUUUAUUUUUAAUCUAGGGAUCAAAUCCAGCUAAGGAGAAGGAGUAAUAUUUGGGAACAGAGUGCACUGUUUGAUAGCUUUAUUUCUUUUUUAUAGCGUCAUCAUAAGUAUCACAAUGUUCUCUGGAUCAUAGAUUAAACUGCAAAUCAGAGAAAGAAAGAGACAUGAGGGAGGAGGGUGAAGGGUCUUGUAAAAUUCAGGCUGCGUUCUCUGUUCAUAGGCUUGUUUUGCAAGGAGGAUUCAAAGACAGAAGUCAAAACAACACAUGUUGUCAACAUGGGAGCAGCUGGUAAGAGGGGCGUCAUGGGGCAGAGGAAUGUCAAGAGUCAUAGAUCUUUUAUCCAUCAGGCUGCAAUAACCACCCAGAAAGCACACUCAGAAGCAGUGUGAAAACUUUUUUUUUUUUUUUUAUAUAUAUAUAUUUCAGACUCAUCUAAUGAUCAACUUAACCAGCUAACUUUAUCCUUAAUCACUAAACAAAAAAACAAAUUCAAUGAAACAUUAUGCAAGUAUGUAAGUGUAGUUUUAACAGUGAAGUGAUGAAUUUCAGAUGUGACAUGUUGGUUUUGCAAUUUUAUUCUCCGCAGGAUGGGACUGAUUGUAAUAUAUGGAAAUAAUUUCCUGUCUCUGUCACUUCAGUGCCUGACAGUCAGUGAGCUGCAGGAGCUGCAGCCCCUCUUCUGAUUGGCUAAAACUAAACAGCAUACUCUGCACUCCAUGCCAAAGUUUGACUUUGCCAUCUUUAAAGCGUUAAAUAAACACUCAGUUGAGUAGGCAUAUACAGUUUCUCCAACAUGAUUUCCUUUUCAAGUCAACUGCACUCAGUAAAGAUACACCAAGCGACCAUAAGUCAAAACCAAAUGACAAAACAACCAGGUUUUUUUUUUUUUUCCGACUGUGUAAACAUUCCACUGAGAGCUUUUUCCGUGACUGUGUUCUACUGAAACUGCAGCUCUGCUCACAUCAGUACGCUGCUGCAGGUGAGGAAGAUGAGGACUACGACAGAAAAGAAGGGAAAAAAAGCAAAUUCUAAAUGACAGGUCCUGAAAAAUACAAACAGCAGCAGAGCCGUAACGUUAUAAAGUAUUGACCUUUGACAGAGGACAUUUAAACCUGACUUCCUCUUCCUGCUAAAUGUUAAACAGCUGCUUUUCUAAUCUGUCAAAGCAAACAGCUUGUCCCAGCUUGCAUAUGGGGGGGAAUAUGGAAAAGCUCAAGAGAGUGGAAGAUCAUGACCUUGCAUUUAUUUUUACAGAAAACAAAAGCAUAGAAAUGGUACCCAAACAAUGUAAGUAUAAUGAUAAAUUAUUUUUUUAUGGGAAAGAAGGAAACAGAGGAAAAUCUAAAAUUAUAUCCACAGGCAGAGGACUAUUUGUAAUAGCAAUAAAGUGUAAAUAUCAGACUUUUUCAAAAUGGUAAUGCAUUUCAAAUCUUACUUACUAAGCAUUUUAAAAAACGUUUUCCUUCCUCAUGCCAAUGUACAGCCACAUGGAAAAAACUGAAGCACAGCAAUGACUCUAAGACUGUCUAAGACGUCCAUCACAAAGACAAGUUGUGGAUUUAAAAAACACCUUACAAACAAGGCAGAUUCUUCUGUAGGCCAACAGAGUUCACAUUAAUGGUGGACACUAGAACAAGAAAAAAGAUUCUGUCUUUAAUAUUCCCACUCUCUGACACUUAGAGGAGUCCUAAAUACAUGAUGCACUGUUUCGUAAUGUAAUGCAAAAUACAGCAUUAUUAUGUCAUUUUAAUGAAUGACAAUGAAAAUUGGAUAUAAUGCUUCACUCAAUAGUAAGAACAGAAAAAUACAAAAAAAGUUACUACUGAAGACAAAACCCCAACACAAAAUGUCUUCCUAAAACACCUUUUUAAGAAAACUGCAUUUAAAAUAAUCCUUAAUAUUUAGAGCUUCAGUUUCUCAAAUAGGAGGAUUUGCUGGUUUUCUUUGUCUUACUUCUUUGGGAUUUAAACUCAUGGCAGAAAAAAAAAACAGAAUCUUACAUCGGACUUUGGAGAAAGUAAAAAGUUUCUUUGUUGGAUUUUUAGAAUGUUUAAAUAGUGCAGCUAACAUCCUUGAAGUUGCGGACAUUUGCGGACCAGUUGCCCCGCUAACAUGAUCCAAAGAAUCAGGUCUAAUAGGUAGUAGCUAAUUAGCAGUUGAACAGCACAGGUACUCAAAUAGUACAAAACAAGUAGAGCUAAAUGUCUUAAGCAGUGUAGCAAAUACAUUACACACUAGAGCUUAAAAGAUGGACUGUUGAUUCCCUGAUUCUUAAACACCCAAUCUAUCACUGUCUAAUCCUCAAGAGGGGAAAAAGCUCCUUUUCACUCCAUCACCUCGAUAGCAUCGACAGGCCCAAACAGGCACCGGCCCCAUCCAGUCUGACGUGGUCGCCUCAUGUGAGGAAAAAAAAAAUACUCCAAGAGGCUUAAAACCACUUUAUAAUACUUGACCGACAAGCUGAGGAAAAGCAGGCUGUCUUUACCUGAGUCAAAGCGAGGACAUGUUCACUGUCAUUUGAUGAAACCAACCUAAAUGCUUCCAGACUUUCACGCCCUGUCUCCUCUUAUUUCAUCUCCCUGCAUCUGCAAGCAACUCAGAACACAAAAUAACAUCUAGCCCAAUGACAUGGGCUCCUCUUUCUUCCAAUGUCCUACAUAGAAAAUUCAAUUUAGUUUGGCGUCCAUGUCUUGAAAUGGCCUAAUGAACUCUUGAUUUAGCCAAUUGGCCUCAAUCUUGGUUAGAGUAAAAAAAACUCACCCUAACCCUAACCCAAGACCUAGAGAUGAACAUUUUGUUAGCUCUUGUACAAUCCUAAAAAAAAUGUCCUCUAAAUUGUGUGACAAAUGAAGUUCUGUUCUGAGGGGCUAAGUGUAGUUUAACAGUCAUUAAACUUGGAUCGUGUAUCCCAAUUGGGGGGAUUAGGACUUCAAUAUGGAGUUUAGAUUUUGGCAAAGCUAACUGGCCUCAAGGCGCCCCCUACAAAAAACAAAACAAACAUAAUGUCCCAGUUUAUUUAACCAUGAUUUACAGAGUUAAGUCCCCAAAUGUAUCAUAUUAAGCCUAACAGAAAAGCCUCCUCGACCAAACAAGAAGUAUGGGGUUAUGAAUUCUUUUGAGAGGAUCAUGUAGGAUGUAGUUUUAGCCAUGAACCUUGGUCAUACUUGAACAAACCUUCAUCUAUAUUGUUUUAAGGCCAUAUAAAACUUGAUUUACUUGGAGAAAAACUACUUUAACUACUUCCUAAGGUGCAAUUAUUUCAUUAGUAUGUUUAUGUAAGUGCUGACAUAGACAACCUAUAUUAGAAUGUGCAGAGUGCUGAACUUAUUUUCCUGCCAGCCAACAACUUGACCCAAAAGAGACUCUCAUUCUCAAUGAGCUAGCCGUGCCGUGAUCCAAAUAUUGUAAAUUUUCAGAUAAUAUCUCACACCAUCUGGUUUUUUGCUUUCCAAGUCUUAUUGGUUUGCAAAAAUCUGCGGGCCACAGCGCUUGACUUUUAACCAGCAACUCAAUUUUGCUUUGCUUGCUUUUUUUCCCUCAAAGGCCAAAAUGAAACAUUAUCUCACGACUCAGAUUAAGAUUAAAGCCUAGAACCAUUCCUUGAAAGGACCAACAGGGGGGGAGAAGAACCUUCCAGCGCUCGGUUCAAACACUCCACUGGCAUAUGGGCAGGAUCACGAAACACAAGCCCAAUGAUGUCACGACCGAGUGACCCCAGGGUGACAGGUUUGGAGAAUGUUCGUGCCCACUGCCCUCGGGCCAGUGUCAAGUAUGUCAAUGUUGUGCAUGUGGAUUUCAUUUCAAGCAGCAUGAUUAGUUCACAGACACUCGACUGCGAUCCCCCUCCAUGGGAAAGCCGCUCUGGACAGGAAACGGUGUGUUUUUGUUAGCAACAACCAGGCAUAAAUUACUCAAAUGGUGCCCUGGUUGCUAAUUCAUCACACACAGCCUUAUUAUUGCUGCUUUUUCACAUUUGACAUCAACAUUGCUUUUAAGGAAAUCACCUUUAGGUAAUGAUAUUUACAUUCCUGAUAGUGUGUGUUGAACUCUGUGCCUGCAAUGCUUCAUUUGUGCAAUAAAUCUGAUAAUUGUUGCGUGUCUUCUCUUUUUUUUUUACCAAUGACAAAUGUGUUCUGAUGAGCUGUGUUUGAAGAAAUUAAUAUAGCCUUUUGAAUUCUUCUGUUACAAAUUCUUAAAAUGUCACUGCAAGAUCAGAGAAGAAAUAAAGGUCCAAGGAGGAAAACAGAGGUAGGUUAAUAGAAAGAGAGAAAUCAAACCAAUCAUUAUCUAAAUGGGUAAAACCACUUUCAAACAUAUGUGUCCAUAUGUAACUGACAACAACCAGACGCUUGUCGGUAGUAUGAUAUAGCUAACAAAUCCAUCAGCAUGAAUAAGUGUUGAGGUUUAUUUCAUGUAGCCCACGACUGACAAAGAUAUAACAAAGAAAGGGGAAGUGAUCUGAUAAAAUGUCUCAGAAGUAACUGUAUUAGUGGAGUAAAUAAUGUGUUAUUUCAACUAACUAUGGGAUAAUUCUGUAAAAUUCUAGACUUACUUAGAGAUAUAGUUUUGAAUAUAAAAUAUAUAAAGACAACACAUAAAUUUCAUUAAUGGGCUGCUGCUGCUGCUGCUUCAAACUGAUGGUAUUGGUUUUUUAUUUAUUAAGUGAAGACACGCUUUCUGGGAAUUCUACCAACAGAAGAGGCCACUACAUGCGGUAAGACAAUCUCUGCGGCGGCAAUGGGAAAUAUUUGAACAGUGUUAUGUAAAACAAAAACCUCAGACAGAUUUGUACUCGGCCUGGAUCUAACAGAGCAUCCAGCUCCUUAAGAAUCGUCAUAGUAAUGAAAUAGUGUUUAAUCUUUGGUUCUAUGACGUGAUUAUGGAUAUCAAAAAACGUGAUGGGACGGGAACUUAUGAUGGGAGUGACGAGUGUAAGAGUAAUAUCAUAACAGAUUAAAGCCUCUGAUCUAGGUUGAUAGAUUUGGAUCACGACUGGAUGACGCUCAAGCACGUACAUCGUUGUUCAUUUCUAGAUAUAUUGUAGGCGCCAUAGCAUUAAGCUAAUUCAAGGUUUCUUUUUGUACUAACAAGCGAUAUGGUCAAUAAUGAGUCAACAGAAUGGAAUAUCGUUAACCGCUGCAUUAUUUGAUAGUCUGGCCUGUGCUUUUCUUCAAAGUAGGAAAGCAGGACUGUAUGAAACGCGUUAUAAAAACCAGAAGUUUUCUGUAAAUAUUAUCCUUCCAGGGCCUGGUUUUGGAUCUCCUCAACUAAACAACCCUUGCCAUCAUGAAUUAAUACGAAUUAUUGCUGUAGUAAAAGUAAUGCUCACGCUGUCUCCUGCCAAACACUUUACAGAGAGCUCUAUUAAUGCAAUGGUAAACAGAUGUGCCACCCAGCUCUCCAGUUUGAUUUGGACUGUGGAUGUUUUCUCCAGGGAGAUAACGGAAUAAAACAUUAUUUAUUUUUUUAAACUGCCUGCAGUGUUUUUAAUCUGCACUCUGUUGAGGUGUGCGAGUAAUACAGAUACUAUACAAUAGAAGGUGAAUUUAAGCAUGCACCGUAAUAGUUAAUGACUUUAAGAACUACUGAAAAAGGCAGUUUAACAGAGUCAAUUGAGGGUCAAAUACCACAUAAUGACCUGUGUCAAGUCUUUUCUGUGAGCCGUUUGCAGUUACUCCCUCUGCACACUAUGUACUGCAUAAAUAAACUGCAUAUGGGUUUCAUAAAUGUACUAUUGAGGUGCUGUACUUUAAAUAACUUCUGUGUCAAAACCAAAACUGCUCCCCUGUAUAUGCAAUAAACAAUGUAUUCCAAGCGUCACUA